This 929-nucleotide ribosomal RNA is filed under the name Amylibacter sp. RNAcentral's name for it is "partial 23S ribosomal RNA". It matches the Rfam family "Bacterial large subunit ribosomal RNA", at positions 1 to 948 of the family's 2925-position model. The record is from RNAcentral. Lineage: Bacteria; Pseudomonadati; Pseudomonadota; Alphaproteobacteria; Rhodobacterales; Paracoccaceae.
GAUCAAGCGCGAGAAGGGCGUUUGGUGGAUGCCUUGGCAGUAAGAGGCGAUGAAGGACGUGAUACUCUGCGAUAAGCUUUGGGAAGUCGAGAAUAGACGCUAUACCCAAAGAUCUCCGAAUGGGGCAACCCAACUGAUACUUUGUUAUUGUUACACUUUGUGUAAUCAAUAAUGGGGUAAAACAGUUAUUAAUUACCUGAAUACAUAGGGUUUUUAAAGCAAACCUGGGGAACUGAAACAUCUAAGUACCCAGAGGAAAGGAAAUCAAUAGAUACUCCCGUAGUAGUGGCGAGCGAACCGGGACCAGCCGAGCAAUGAAUGUGACUAGAACCAGUUGGAAAGCUGGGCGAUAUGGGUGACAGCCCCGUAUAGGAAGCAUGAUUUGACGUAUUAAGUAGGGCGGAACACGUGAAAUUCUGUCUGAACAUGGGGGGACCACCCUCUAAGGCUAAGUACUCCUUACUGACCGAUAGCGAACCAGUACCGUGAGGGAAAGGUGAAAAGCACCCCGACGAGGGGAGUGAAACAGUUUCUGAAACCGGACGCCUACAAACAGUUGGAGCCCCUUAUGGGGUGACAGCGUACCUUUUGUAUAAUGGGUCAACGACUUGGUCUUACUAGCAAGCUUAAGCCGAUAGGUGUAGGCGCAGCGAAAGCGAGUCUUAAUAGGGCGAAUGAGUUAGUAGGAUCAGACCCGAAACCGAGUGAUCUAGGCAUGAGCAGGUUGAAGGUAAGGUAACACUUACUGGAGGACCGAACCCACAUCUGUUGAAAAAGAUCGGGAUGACUUGUGCCUAGGGGUGAAAGGCCAAUCAAACUCGGAGAUAGCUGGUUCUCCGCGAAAUCUAUUUAGGUAGAGCGUCGCACGAAUACCUUGGGGGGUAGAGCACUGAAUGGGUAAUGGGGACUCACCGUCUUACUGAUCCUAA